RNAcentral lists this small RNA (745 nucleotides) under Pongo abelii (Sumatran orangutan). Its description in RNAcentral is "retained intron". Lineage: Eukaryota; Metazoa; Chordata; Mammalia; Primates; Hominidae. The record is from RNAcentral.
GGGGUGAUAAAGAAAUUGAAAUGCAGUUAGUUUUGAGAAUGGUAGUUGGCUUUUGCAAAUUUGUUUUCAGGUGAUCAUUAUAAAGUCCCCCCACCCGCACCAAUCACAUCCACUGUGAUGUGGAGAAAGGGCUCAUGGCACUGCACUGGGGCACCGCGUUGGGGUCACGCCUGCCGCUCACGGCCUGCCAUGUCCGUGUUGCAGAGGAGGAGACCCACCCAGUGGACUUGAGCUCGCUCUCCAGUAAGCUGCUCCCAGGCUUCACCACGCUGGGCUUCAAAGACGAGAGAAGAAACAAAGUCACCUUUCUCUCCAGUGCCACUACUGCGCUUUCGAUGCGGAAUAAUUCAGUAUUUGGUGACUUGAAGUCGGACGAGAUGGAGCUGCUCUAUGUAGCCUACGGAGAUGAGACAGGUGUGUAGUGUGCGCUGAGAUGGACACCCGCUCCGGGAGCCAGUGUUCCGUCACCCCAGAAGCCAUACUCAACAAUGAACAGCUGGUCUUGCCGCCCCGCAUCUCUAGAGUGAACGGCUGGUCGUUACCCUUGCACUACUUCCAGGUGGUGACUUGGGCUGUCUUCGUGGGCCUUUCCUCGGCCACCUUCGGGAUCUUCAUUCCCCUCCUGCCUCAUGUGUGGAAAUACAUCGCCUACGUGGUAUCCUCUUCAUCGUGGCAUGGUCUAAGCGGGAGGGGUUCCUGGAGAACCCUGCGAUGGACCUGGCUGUGGGGUCUGGGCCAUGGCUGC